CAGGAUGAACGCUAGCGACAGGCCUAACACAUGCAAGUCGAGGGGCGGCACAAGGAGCAAUCUGAGGUGGCGACCGGCGCACGGGUGAGUAACACGUAUGCAACCUGCCUGUAAGCGGGGAAUAACCCGUUGAAAGACGGACUAAUACCGCAUAAUACUAAAUUACUGCAUGGUAAUUUAUUUAAACAUUUAUGGCUUACAGAUGGGCAUGCGCAUGAUUAGCUAGUUGGAGAGGUAACGGCUCCCCAAGGCAACGAUCAUUAGGGGUUCUGAGAGGAAGGUCCCCCACACUGGUACUGAGACACGGACCAGACUCCUACGGGAGGCAGCAGUGAGGAAUAUUGGUCAAUGGACGAGAGUCUGAACCAGCCAAGUCGCGUGCAGGAAGAAUGUUCCCUAUGGAUUGUAAACUGCUUUUGCAGGGGAAUAAAGUGCAUCACGUGUGAUGUUUUGUAUGUACUCUGCGAAUAAGGAUCGGCUAACUCCGUGCCAGCCGCUGC
This 500-nucleotide ribosomal RNA is filed under the name uncultured bacterium. RNAcentral describes it as "bacterial SSU rRNA". It matches the Rfam family "Bacterial small subunit ribosomal RNA", at positions 25 to 518 of the family's 1533-position model. The record is from RNAcentral.